GACGAACGCUGGCGGCGCGCCUAACACAUGCAAGUCGAACGAGCGAGGGAGAGCUUGCUUUCUCGAGCGAGUGGCGAACGGGUGAGUAACGCGUGAGGAACCUGCCUCAAAGAGGGGGACAACAGUUGGAAACGACUGCUAAUACCGCAUAAGCCCACGACCCGGCAUCGGGUCGAGGGAAAAGGAGCAAUCCGCUUUGAGAUGGCCUCGCGUCCGAGUAGCUAGUUGGAGUGGUAACGGCCCACCAAGGCGACGAUCGGUAGCCGGGAUCAGAGGUUGAACGGCCACACUGGGACUGGGACGCGGCCCAGAAUCCUACGGGAUGCAGCAGUGGGGAAUAUUGCACAACCGCGGAAGUCCUGAAGCAGCUACGACGCGUGGAGGAUGAAGGUCGUCGGAUUGUAAACUCCUGUUGUUGAGGAAGAUAAUGACGGUACUAAACAAGGAAGUGACGGCUAACUACGUG
RNAcentral lists this ribosomal RNA (466 nucleotides) under uncultured bacterium. Its description in RNAcentral is "partial 16S ribosomal RNA". It matches the Rfam family "Bacterial small subunit ribosomal RNA", at positions 28 to 507 of the family's 1533-position model. The record is from RNAcentral.